Molecule: ribosomal RNA, 468 nt
Filed under: uncultured bacterium
Lineage: Bacteria
Description: partial 16S ribosomal RNA
Rfam family: Bacterial small subunit ribosomal RNA
Source: RNAcentral
GACGAACGCUGGCGGCGUGCUUAACACAUGCAAGUCGAACGGAAAGGCCCUGCUUUUGUGGGGUGCUCGAGUGGCGAACGGGUGAGUAACACGUGAGUAACCUGCCCUUGACUUUGGGAUAACUUCAUGGAACUGGGGCUAAUACCGGAUAGGAACUCCUGCUGCAUGGUGGGGGUUGGAAAGUUUCGGCGGUUGGGGAUGGACUCGCGGCUUAUCAGCUUGUUGGUGGGGUAGUGGCUUACCAAGGCUUUGACGGGUAGCCGGCCUGAGAGGGUGACCGGCCACAUUGGGACUGAGAUACGGGCCAGACUCCUACGGGAGGCAGCAGUGGGGAAUAUUGCACAAUGGGCGGAAGCCUGAUGCAGCAACGCCGCGUGCGGGAUGACGGCCUUCGGGUUGUAAACCGCUUUCGCCUGUGACGAAGCGUGAGUGACGGUAAUGGGUAAAGAAGCAACGGCUAACUACGUG